CUCGGGGGGAGGGUCCCUCCGCCCAGAUUGUGAGAGGGCGCAGGCCAGGCCAAGGGACCCCACAGGUGCAUA
This is a non-coding RNA of Myotis brandtii (Brandt's bat), 72 nucleotides long. NCBI's taxonomy places the organism in Eukaryota, Metazoa, Chordata, Mammalia, Chiroptera, Vespertilionidae. The record is from Rfam.